GAACGCUAGCGACAGGCCUAACACGUGCAAGUCAGGGGCAGCACAAGGAGCAAUCUGAGGUGGCGACCGGCGCACGGGUGAGUAACACGUAUGCAACCUGCCUGUAAGCGGGGAAUAACCCGUUGAAAGACGGACUAAUACCGCAUAAUACUAAAUUACUGCAUGGUAAUUUAUUUAAACAUUUAUGGCUUACAGAUGGGCAUGCGCAUGAUUAGCUAGUUGGAGAGGUAACGGCUCCCCAAGGCAACGAUCAUUAGGGGUUCUGAGAGGAAGGUCCCCCACACUGGUACUGAGACACGGACCAGACUCCUACGGGAGGCAGCAGUGAGGAAUAUUGGUCAAUGGACGAGAGUCUGAACCAGCCAAGUCGCGUGCAGGAAGAAUGUCCUAUGGAUUGUAAACUGCUUUUGCAGGGGAAUAAAGUGCAUCACGUGUGAUGUUUUGUAUGUACUCUGCGAAUAAGGAUCGGCUAACUCCGUGCCAGCAGCUGC
This 491-nucleotide ribosomal RNA is filed under the name uncultured bacterium. RNAcentral's name for it is "bacterial SSU rRNA". It matches the Rfam family "Bacterial small subunit ribosomal RNA", at positions 31 to 518 of the family's 1533-position model. The record is from RNAcentral.